CUUCCGUCCUAUUUCCACUUCCUUUUCGAAAUUUAAAAAGAAUAAUUAGAAGUCGGCUUCGUGGAUUUCUUCCUCUCUCGCUCUCGAGUCCCUUCGUCCGGUCAUCAACAUUCAAUUGUGAUUCUAGAAACUGAAUCGAGAAAUAAGCAAAAUUCGCAGUGAGCGAAGAUUUUGGAGCUACGAGCGCAAGUGUUAUGUGAUCUCGGCGGCUGUCUCUCGCGGAAGUGCACAUUGUUUGCUCUUCUCGUGGAGGUCUCUGCUGAUCAAAGAGGAAGAUUUUCAACAUAGAUUGAAUCGAUCUACACAAGUAUGAGAAACAUGUUGGAAACAGAUCAACCUAGUGUUCAAAUCUUCAAGAUUCAGACCUACAUUGCCAAUCUCUCUUGCAGGCAGUAGGGCUUUUGGUCUGGAAGCCAGCUCAGGCGCAAGUCUAAGUUCCCACAGUAGCUUUCCGACGAUGGUGAAACGUCAUUCGUAUUGAAUGAUUCAUUUCCCUCCGUCAAUGGGUUAGUGAAGAGUUUGGAUCUCUCUCAUUAAUACCAGCUACGACUGCUACUUUGGCUGUGGGCUUCUUCCCUUGUGAUGCCCCGGACUCCGCUGUGACCGAAGCUUUUGCACUCCUUGACAGAGAGAACACAGGCAGGAGCGUUAUCGGACGGAGGGGGCAAUUUGUCAGUUAAAAGGAAAUGUUGAUGGAGGAUGAGACCGUUCGUGAGACGAUGCGCGAGACGAAUACGGUUUGGUCGUGUUCCUAAACCAACAUGGCUUGCUAUUGGGUCCGGGCCGUGGGUCAGGAAAGGCUCACCCAUGCUGGUCUCUGUCCUCGAUCGUGUGCAAACCGGCCCAGAUUACCACCUGAAGCAAGACAACAGCAUAGAUAGUUGCAAAACCCCGUGUCCUACGUCCAUUAAGCACGUGCAUGAGUACCUUAAGCGUAGGAAAAGUGAGGUUAUUAUGUAGUUUCAUUUACCAGGGCCGGUACAGGUAUUAAGGUCUUCAGCAGGAUCACUACUCGGGAGAUUGACAGCCAUUGGUUUAGAUGAGCCGAGCCGAGCCGAGCCGAGCCGGGUUGAAUUGAUCUUAAAGUGCUCCGAGAUCAACAUAGGUUUUGUUAUUGUCAUUUGGUUGGAUCAAUUGCGUCACUCGCCUAACCAAACUUGAUGGUUUGUGGGUGAUACAGAUAGCUUACAUGGCCCAUCGCAACUUGACAAUUCAAGAUGCCGAUUACACAAGCCCACCGACAUAA
Musa acuminata AAA Group (dessert banana) is the source of this 1246-nucleotide long non-coding RNA. RefSeq lists it as uncharacterized. The record is from RefSeq and is a predicted model, not a curated record. The transcript is spliced from 5 exons. NCBI's taxonomy places the organism in Eukaryota, Viridiplantae, Streptophyta, Magnoliopsida, Zingiberales, Musaceae.